UACGUAGGGUGCAAGCGUUGUCCGGAAUUAUUGGGCGUAAAGAGCUCGUAGGCGGUUUGUUGCGUCGGCUGUGAAAUCCCGAGGCUCAACCUCGGGUCUGCAGUCGAUACGAGCAAACUAGAGUGUGGUAGGGGAGACUGGAAUUCCUGGUGUAGCGGUGAAAUGCGCAGAUAUCAGGAGGAACACCGAUGGCGAAGGCAGGUCUCUGGGCCACUACUGACGCUGAGAAGCGAAAGCAUGGGGAGCGAACAGG
Molecule: ribosomal RNA, 253 nt
Filed under: uncultured bacterium
Lineage: Bacteria
Description: partial 16S ribosomal RNA
Rfam family: Bacterial small subunit ribosomal RNA
Source: RNAcentral